This 371-nucleotide ribosomal RNA is filed under the name uncultured soil bacterium. Its description in RNAcentral is "bacterial SSU rRNA". It matches the Rfam family "Bacterial small subunit ribosomal RNA", at positions 26 to 397 of the family's 1533-position model. The record is from RNAcentral.
AGAUUGAACGCUGGCGGAAUGCUUUACACAUGCAAGUCGAACGGCAGCACGGGGGCAACCCUGGUGGCGAGUGGCGAACGGGUGAGUAAUACAUCGGAACGUGCCCAGUCGUGGGGGAUAACUACGCGAAAGCGUAGCUAAUACCGCAUACGAUCUACGGAUGAAAGCGGGGGAUCGCAAGACCUCGCGCGAUUGGAGCGGCCGAUGGCAGAUUAGGUAGUUGGUGGGGUAAAGGCUCACCAAGCCGUCGAUCUGUAGCUGGUCUGAGAGGACGACCAGCCACACUGGGACUGAGACACGGCCAGACUCCGUACGGGAGCAGCGAGGUGGGUAAUUUGGACUAAGUGGGACGAAAGCCUAGACUCCGAGCC